CUUGUUUAUUUGAAUGUUUUAUACUCAUUAAAAAAAUCUUUCAGAUUUGAUUUUGACAUUUUUCACCCUUGUGAACACAUAAAAAGUAAAAUGUACUAAGAGAAAUUGGUUAAGAUAUAUCCAUGACAAUGAUAACCACAUCUUAAGACCAUCCAGCUCUCAGAAAUGUGAAUAUAUUCAAAAAUAAACAUCUGUGUACCCACCACCUUGUUUAUGAAAUAGAACAAUUGCCAACACUAUUGAAGCUCUUGAGUAAAUUUCCCUGAUGACAUCUCCCUCCUUUACGCCUGACGGUUAUCUGCUUUUUUUCUAAUUUUGCCAAAUAUCUACCCUAAAUAAUUCAUAGUUUGGUAUUGCGAUUAACAGUUUUGUACAUUGAGCUCAAGCGCAUGUGUUCUGUGACUGUUUUGACUUUAACGUAGGUGAGAUUCAUCCAUGCCGAUGUGCAUAGCUGCCCCCGUUGUAUCUCACAGUAUACAUAUUCCAUAAUUUAUCAGUUCCCCGGUUGAUGGACAUUUGGGGCUAUUUCCAACGUUUUGCUCUUACAUUGUGCUACAUUCUUAUAGUUGUCUCCCGGAACAGAUGUGUGAGAGUUUCUCUGGGGUACAUACUUAGAAGUGACAUUGCUAAGUCUAGACCAUAGCCUGACAAACACUGCCAUUCCCCUCCUCCCCGCCAAUGAAUAUCCCGAGGAAACAUGAGUCCUGUUCUUGCUUAAUCUACAGACCAGACUUAGUACUGUAUCUACAUUCAGGGCCUUCAGAGAGAAGAACAGCAAGAAGAGAAGAAGGUUGUGGUGCUCCCCAGCCCACAGGAGAUGACUUUCCUCCAUAACCUUGGGGAACCAAAGGCAGGCAGUGGUUGAUGCAAGAUGAAGCACUUCUCUUGGCUCCAUUGAGCAUGGGGGUGAGGUGGGGCUCCACUUGACUGGAGACUAGGGUCUCAGGCUUUAGCUUGUUUGAUGUCACAGAAUCCACUGUGAGGUCACUCCUGUGCUGUGAAAGAAGAAAACAGCAAUUCAUUCUGAAAAAGUAUGGUUUUAUUUAUUUAAAAUGAGGGGAAGCUAAGCUGAAAUCAGCUUUGUCUCAUGCUCUGGCUCUUCUCCUGAUGGGCUUUAGAAAAAGUCAUUGUCUCCUUGAUCUCAGAUAUGAUGGCAGCAGUGAUCGCCAGCCCUUCCCCACCCUCUGUUGUCUGCAUGAUCAGUUCUCUGCUGCUUUCCUCCACAGCUUUAGACCUGAUGAUGCCCACCUCUGUAUCACCUGAAGGACAGCAGGCUUUGAGGUUCUUUAAUAAAGAACCGAUCCUGCUGGGUCUCUGACUUGCUUUGAACCCAAAUUACUGUCAUUGCAAUAGGGUCAGCUUUGAGCUUUCAGCAAAGAGCCAGUCCUGCUGAGUCUCUUAUUUUCAGAACCUGGGGCCACUGUGUGGUAGUGUGGGCUUUGAGAUUCUUUAGCAAUGAGCCAAAACUGCUGGAUCUCUUACUUGCAGAGCCUGGAACUACUGUGUAUGCAAUAUGGUAGGCUUUAAAAUUUAUUUAAAAAAAGAGAGAGCCAAUUGUGUGGUGCUUUUACUUGAAGCCCUGGAAAAAAGAGGCAGAGCCAUAAGCAAUGACGGCGCUACAAGGACGACGAGGUCCUUGUGUCCUGUAAACUUCUCUCCACAUGUUGGCUGGUUCUGAUGGUGUUGACAUGACCUGGGGCCUCCGGGAGCUGGAGGCAAAGCCCCCUGUGCUGGGCCCCGGCUCCGCUGUGCUCCUUGCCCUCCUCUCGUGCUGCCCUGGCUCAGGAAAGUGCAAUAUUCGCACAACGUGUUUCUCUCCCAUUGUGAAUCAGCAAAGUUCCUAACAGGCCUGGCAGGUGACUUGUUUCCUUUACUCAGAUUCAGCUACACAACCCAGGAAAGUGGCUCAGGUUAAGUUCCAGGAUCUAACGUCAGAAUUUAAUGAAUAAUAAGGAAAAUGGAGCUCUUUUUCCCCAGGAAGUUCUCAGUGAUGGGGCCAACUGAGCCAGUCAUUGCCCUGAUGGGGCCGAAAGCUACACUCUCCUGUCACCUCAGACCCCCGCUGGAUGCCAAUCCAUGGAGUGAGUGGACUCAAGAUCGCCCCUUAGCUAAGACAGCUUUUAUGUCUGAUCAUCAGGGAACACAAUUCAGAAGGAGGACUGAGUUCUUGAAGAACGUCACCAUGGGGAGUGUUCAUCUCGGGCUGCAAGAUACACCCUUCCGGUGAAGGGCAGCACAGAUGUAACUUUGAGGAUUUGUCCAGUCACAGCAAUGUUACUUCCAAGUGUAUGUGGCAGGAUUAUGAAGUUCCCCGCGCGUUCUCUUCAAGAACAGUGAUGCCAGAGUGGACCAUCUGGUGUGUAAGGCUGCAAGGUGGUACCCAGAGCCUGAGGCAAGCUGGUGAGAUGCCUAACACAGAAUUUAAAGCCACACUCUGAAAACAGCAGAACAGAUGGAAACAGUCUGUUCUCCACUUCAUCUUCAGUCCUAGUAACUAGACUAAAAAAGCUGCACUCUGUUCCUCAACCUCCGGCUCAACCAGAAGGAGGAAAUAACUAUUUCUGUUGGCAGGGUAGUUUCUAUAUUACUACAUCGCGUCGCCUUGAGAAGUGUUUUAAAAGCUGUGUUUCUUGUAUAUUGUUGAAUUUCUAAUAGAAAGGAAAAUCAUUUUGAGUCUCUGCACUGUACUUUUUAGGCAACAUUCUAACACCAAAAUGAGUUGUGGUGUUCAAGGCUCCUACUUGGACUAGAGCUGCCAGCAUUUCUUUGCUAGGUGAAGUGUGACGCGAAAUUAAAAAUUCACAAUAUUCUUUCUUGAGCUUAGGUUUCUUAGCAGAAUCUGAUUUUUAGAUAAUGAAUAUAAUAAUUGUCAACAGCAAAUUGACUGGAAGCACAGAGAAGUUGCAGUUUUUCCUUUAUCCUUAAGAGGUUCUUUUAUUCAUAAUAUUUAUGCAAUGACAGAAUGAACAGUUGAAUUACAUUAAAAUCAUUGAAAUGAUGGCUUUGUCUGUAGGACACCAGGGAAGUGAUUUGUAUUAUUUUACUGGUUGCUUUAAAAACUGUGUAGGCGUGUGUGGAGUGAUGAGAUUAGGAUGAACCUACGCCUCUAUGGUAGACAGGGGCUACAAGAGAGGAGAAUUUAAAUGUUAUCAGAAAAAAGACACAGAGAAAUGGUGAGAUGCUUUAAGGUCAGCAUGAACUAGAUACUGGCUCUUUUUCGAAAUGGAACGUGUACUGACAGACAUUGCCACUUACCCGAACUGAUGUCAAUAUUUUCCUUCUUCAACAGAAAUAUUAUGUGGGUAAUUUUGAGUAUUAUUUUAACCGUGGUCUGCAUUCCCGUGAUUGUUUUCUUCAUCACGGUGCAAGGAAAAUCUAAAAGUAAGUGGGUUGGAGCGAUGUGAAGGCUGUCAUUUGAGUUUGUCCAUUGUUGGGACCUGGUGGAGAAAGAUGGUGACCUGGAAGAGUAAGACGGUUGUCUAGAAGAGUUAAAUGAUCUGUACAGAAAAGAGACGGAAAGCUUGGUGAGUAGGAACGCGAAGGAAGGACCAUUGUUUGGUAGCGUUAUUUCAGCUGGGAAUCUUGGUUUCAUCUUGGUACUGAACGGAGUGUGGUUCUCAGUCCUUCUGUUGGGGACAAGAUGUUAUUUGCUCAGCACAAGAGAAGCCCUCAUGGACCCUCAUCCUUCAGCCCCCCUCAGUGAGGCUUCAGCGAGGAAUGAUUUAGGGCUCUUACUCUCGGUUCUACUGCCCGGAGGAACCUGGUUCCCAUAAUGGAGCAGGUGAAAGGUCCAACAGCAAAACGUGGGACCUCACCACGUGCACUGCAGCAAAAGAAGAACAAAUUAUCAAAAUAAGUUUAUUAGAAAGAAGGCAAAGUACGGAAAUAACCCAUUUUAGAAUAAGGGGAUAACUUAAAGAUAAUUUAAUUUAAACUUUCUUAAACAUUCUCCACUGUUUCCCCAGAGGUUAAUUAGGAGAGGUUUGGGAAAUACUAGAUUAAAUAAAGUUAAAAUUUUUUUACUUAAAAUAUUAACAGAGAUGUUAAAUGGUAAUAUGAAUUAUGAAUGUCUAAAAGCAUUUAAUUUCAAGGAAGAAUAUUUCAGAAAGUAUUAAAUUAAAAAUAUAUAAAUGUCCAAAUUUUAUAAAGUAAAUUAUGGUUUGAAAAAAUAAAAUGGAAUGAAUUAGAGGGUUUUAAAAAAUUUCCAUGGAUGGUUUUUGUUUUGUUCUAUGUGUGUUUCUAAUCUUCCCAAUUUCCAUAAUAAGAAUGUAUAAUAGUCUGAAAAAAAAGUUUAGAAAAAAUAGUCUUCUGAUUUUUCUCCAGUCAUCCUUUCCAUGCUCAUCACUUAAUCAGAUGUAAGGUGAGGAUCCCCCUUUAAGGAAAAUGGUGGAUCACUUGCAAGCCAAACAUCAUUUAAUGGAUGUUCUGCUGGGCCACGCUUCUCUACAGACUCUGACCUCCUUGCUGGGUCCCUGCCUUCUCCUUCCUUUGAGGAGACCCACCGGGAAGGAUCACCUGGGAACACUGGGAGGGCAAGGUGUGGAUGGGGAAGGACAGAAGCCCCUCUCCUCAAGACAGACCUGUUUCUCUCCUGUGGUUUGGUCCAGUUGUUUCACAUGACCAGCAGUGGCCAGUACAUUGCCUUUUCCUAUCCUGGACCACUUCCUCUGCAAUUAAAGUCUAUAGCAUGGAAACCAAAGAAUGGUAGCAUGCACGGGGAGCUAGAUUUACAGUCUUUCCACCCAAUGAGUGAAUAAAGCAACAAACAACAGUCCAUCUUCUUGUCACAGAAUCAUAGGAGGAGUCCCAAAAUGGUAGGAAUCCUAACAAUUUCUUAUUCUGGUAAAAUUCCUGGAGCAUAAAAGGCAUUUGAUUAAUGUUGCAUUGCAUUACAUAUUGAACCCAAUCCCUCGUUUUGCAUGUGAGAAAACUGAGGUCAGGAGGCAUUCUGAGGAUAACUUAGUCCUAGUGACAGACUUGAGAUGGCGACCCUGAACAUCCAACUUCCAGUCUUGUACUUCCUGACUCUGCCCUGGUGUCUGUCCCAGGCAGGGACAAUUCUGAGUUAAAAUACCAUGUUGGCAAUAUUUGUAUUCAACAAGUGCCAGUUGGGACUCUCUUCUUUCCUUGAUCUAAGUAAACCUGCCCUCAAAAUGCUGCUGCAUUUUCCUAAUCCCACUUCCUCCUCAAUCCAAUGCACCUGCCGUGGACCCAUACACUUGCAAGGACUGACUUGGUUGUCUAGAGUGGCAACUAGAAAAUAGGUGAAGUCAUACUCAAUAGUCACCCAGGGGGACAUGGCUUAGCAUUGGCACUCAUCACCCACUGAGGGAGGCUUCAUAUAUUUAAUUUGUCCAAUACGGCUAAAUAAUUCAUAUCAAGCAAAACUUAUUACAUAUUUUAGAAUAGUGAUGGAGUAAAUAGCGAUUGUUUCCCUAUCACUCUUAUUUCUAUAGGGAGAAAAAUUUCUGCAAUAAAUGAAAGACUCAAAACUCUUUAAAAGUUGUAAUGUUUGUUCUGGGAUUGAUCCUCUUACCCAAAGCAGAGCUUCUGCAGCAUCUUCCGAAAGUUUGAUUUCUGGGAAGUUUGGGGCAAAUCUCUCUCUGGCUUUGCCCUAGUUCUUUUUCUUCCAUUUUGGAGGACAUGAACAUCUUCCAGGGAGUAAGUUGCCUGACCCCACGGCUGGAUGUGUUUGGAAAGCUCCAAAUGGAUUAGAGCAUUUAUUUUCCCCCACCCUCUCUAAGCUUCUCCUUUUAUCCAACACAUCGUCUCCAAAAUUUUCCAACCUUUUUUUUUUUGCUAUCAGUGAUUUCAGAACCAACACUUGGAAAGUUUCUUCACUUCCAAUAUUUUCUUUACAUUUUUCCUACGGCCUUCAUAUUUUAGAUUAUUCAAAUGCUUUGUUUUCAUAGUCUAUCUCAAGUAAUCUACAAUGAACAUUUUUAAAAAACAUUUUUCCCCUCCCUUCUUGCCUCCCUUCCUUCCUUCCUUCCUCUCACCUGUUCUCAUCCACUGCCAUCCCAGGCAUCACAGCCUGGGUCAAUAUGAAAGAGCCAAUUUCCCCUUUAACCUCAUACUCAGUUGAAUACAUAUCACAUUUAAUUCAUGAUAUUAUUAUCUGUUUCCCAUGAACAGUGUUACCAUUUUGAUGCCUGGAUUCACAAUUUUAUAACUUUUAAGACAUAGUCAAAAUAGAUUUCUCCAUGGAACUUCCUGAGACCACUUACAAGAAUUCAGAGUGUGCUCUACUUUCCUUGCUAACUGUAGUAGCAGAGAUCUAGUAAUUAUUCACACUUGUGUGCCAAGUCUUUUUUUUCUGUCUCUUCCUUCUCUGUGUCUUCUGAAGUUCCAUGGUCUUUGCUAGAAAUGUAAUCAUCACAGUUGACUUUGGUCUGAAAAUUGGUAACUUCAUCUUCUUACUCUUCAUCAAUCUUUGUAAUACGGUUGUUUUUAAUUAAAGUAAAAUUACAGACAUUUCAGUACAAUGAGUUUCUACCAUGUUUUGACAAUCUCAAACAGUAAAUUCUGACAGACCUUUUUUAUUAUAGUCUUUGGCCUCCUGUUAUCACAUUUGCAUAGUCUUUGUCACCCAUAACAGUUUAUAUGUCCAACAUUGGUGGAAAUAUGAUUCAAAUCUCUGGAUGCUUUUUGAUGUUCCCAUUCAAACUCUGUCUGUCUCUUGUUCUUGAAAAAUAUAGAUUCUUUUCAUUUAUUUUAAAAUUUUUUAAUCUUUUUUUUUUUCCUAGAAGUCUGUGAAGGCUACAAGUCUGCUGGAGAAUGGAAUUGAUAUUGACAGUUUUCCUUGUCACUGUAGUAAUAAAUUCCACAGAAAGGGUCAUCAUAUUUUCAGAAUCACAAUGGAAACCACUACUAUGGUCAAAAUUUCAUCACCAUUGAGUCUAGUCUAGCUGCUUCUCUCUCUCUCUCUCUCCUUCCUUUACUGGAUUCUUUUACUGAUCUCCUCCCACUGCCUGUGAGGCCCCCGAUUCCUGCUAUCCACAUCCAUAUGCUUACCUUAGUGGGACCAGCUCUACUUUGGGGCGGUGGGUGAAAACAUGCUGUGGUGACCUUGGUGCUCUCCAGGAAGGCUUCAAGAGAGCUGGCCGUGGGGCAAUAAAUCAUCCCAGUUUGUAUGGGAUUAGCCUGGUUUUAGUAAUGAAAGUCAUGUGUCCCAAGAAACCCCUUUUCAUGAUGCAAAAACUCCCAGUUUUCUGUAAAGGGUGCAGAAGUUUGGAGGAAAACUAUAAAACCAAUACAGCAGCUCAAAAAAUAGGUCUGAAAGCAAUGCACUUUUUAAUAUCAAAACAAAGCAGCAUAAAUCAUCUGCUUCUUUAGUCACUGUCUCUGGCUUUUCCCCGACCAUGGCUGUCAGUAAUCAGGAUUUGCAGCUCACCGUGAUGAAUCACCAUUGUUGCAUCAGUCUGAGUGAUACGUCUUAAGUGAGCAAAUUAAAUGCCUGGUAUUCAUCAGCAUUGCCCACCCAUCUUUGACUUUGCUUGUAGAUUAGCUGUUGUGCAUUGUAUUGAGAUAGCGCUAAGAUUUUUUUGAAAAAAUUCUGGCUGAAAACUUCCCAGAUUUGAUGAAUAGUACAAACUCACAGAUCUAAAAAGCUCAACGAACCCACAGCAUAAGUAUCCUGAAGAAAACUACACAAAGUCGCACCAUAAUCAAACAGCUUAAAUCCAGUGAAAAAGGGAAAAUCUAAAAACCUGAAAGAGAAAAAAGAUGCAUUAUUCUUAUUCUGUAAUAUAAGCAGCAAGACUAAGUUUCUCUUCCCAUUCAGUUCACGGCACGAUUGAGUUGACCUGUGUGCCACGUCUCUACCCUUACAGUGAAAAAAACAUUCAGAUCAUUUCAAGUUUACAUGAUUCCUCUCCUAUGACACUCAUCAAUCUGCCUUGCACUCUCUGUGAUUCAGCAUUUGGGAUUCUCAUGAGCAGGCAAAGAGAAAAAAGAGGAAAGUGAACAAUCCACUCUAAUGCACUGUGAGCUCCUGGAGAAGGUUAGUGCUUUCAUUGCUCUUGAUUCACCACCCACACCUGAGUCCACGGCCUUUCAGAAUUGUAUCGACAUCAAUAGAAAGUAAGAGGAGAAGAAAAAUCUGACAACCCACCCAGACUCCUCUGCGGUGGAGCUAAAGCUGAUGUGUUUCUUUCCCAUGGAAGAAGGAGUGGUGUCCUCUGCUUCCUGGGCUGCUCCAGACUUUUUCCUUCUUUUCCACCCCUAGUGGUUCCACAGCAGGCUACAGACCAGCAGAAGGACGAUGUUAGGGUUGAUUUGUCCUCUCCAGUGGACACGAUGGUGACGGGAAUGCCCUCUCUCGGGAGUUCUGUCAUUUUCCUGUCUUUCCUUCUAGGCUUCAGCACUGGUUUGGAGACCUUCUGGCUUCCUUCCUGUUUAAUAAUGCAGCUUUCAGUCUGCACACUUGAGAUGAGGGGUCCCGCUACUGGAACUUCAGCUGUUUCUGAAACAGGCUUGUCAGUCGUCUCUGCUCCUGCGAGCACCAUACACAUGCUGCCCUCUGGAGAGAGACUGGCAGCUCCUGCUGACGUGAGGGAAUUACUUGCUUACAAACAUGUUAAGUCCUCACCUCAUAGUGGGGACACGCCGGAAGCACCCGCCCUGGGCAUGACGGCUCUGCUUCCUCCUGGAUCCAUGAAGGCUGCUCCUGCCGGUGUUGAGUCGAUCUGUCCUGAGUAUCCACAGCACCUGCUGUGGCUCCUAUUGUUAUCUCUGCCACUCCUGCUGCUGCCCCUUUGUCAGGCACUGUAGGUUUCGUGACUGCAAGAGUGUGUACAGUACAUCUGCGAGGACUGCUGGAUUCGUCCUCACCCCUCUAAGCAUAAUCAGAAGAGAUGACCUUAAAGAUCUCAGGGAUGAUGUGGGGUCUCCUGAUUCUGACCUGAUUUGGGUGCCUUUCUCCACGGAUCUUCAUGAUCUGUGCUGAAAAGGAAAAGAAAGAAAAAGGGGAAAUGAAU
Molecule: long non-coding RNA, 8978 nt
Organism: Equus caballus (horse)
Lineage: Eukaryota; Metazoa; Chordata; Mammalia; Perissodactyla; Equidae
Source: Ensembl